GUCCAAACAGUAUCAGGUUCACAUCAAGUACACAGUGAUCUUUUCAUGUAGAGCAAAGAUCCUCUUUUUAUCACAGAGGGUAAAAAAACCUCUGGCUCCCACAGAGAUACAAUGUGGGAAUGUUAUUCAUCCCUACUAGACCUUUCAGUGCCAUUCAAAACUUCUGUUGGUCAGCAGUAAUUGUGCCCACUGCCCCUGUACCAGUAGGCAUUCUCACCCUGUAUACGGCUAGCACUACCCACUCCUCACCUACGGGUUCUCAACCCCACCAUGCCAUGUUAUUCUUUCAAUCGACUACAGUACCUCCUGUCUUGGGCUUGAACUCGUUUGGACUGUGAAUUAAAGAUGUCUUUAAAGAGACGGCUGCUGUCCAUGUUGUUGGGCUGUGUCUACUGCGUGGCUUCGCUCUUCUGCUUCAACCCCAACAACUGUGUCUCCAUUAGCACCCGGAAUCUCAUGACAGUUGUCCAGCAGCUGUACCAACGAGUCACGAGGCUUAUGCACACCACUUUGUGAUCUUGUGGAGCUCGUUAACACUCAUCAUCCUCAA
This is a long non-coding RNA of Oncorhynchus kisutch (coho salmon), 550 nucleotides long. RefSeq lists it as uncharacterized. The record is from RefSeq and is a predicted model, not a curated record. The transcript is spliced from 2 exons. NCBI's taxonomy places the organism in Eukaryota, Metazoa, Chordata, Actinopteri, Salmoniformes, Salmonidae.